GCCCAGGUGGUGGAAUGGUAGACACGUACGUUUGAGGUGCGUAUGCCUUCGGGUGUGUGGGUUCAAGUCCCAUCUUGGGCACCA
This 84-nucleotide transfer RNA is filed under the name Candidatus Altimarinota bacterium. RNAcentral's name for it is "Candidatus Gracilibacteria bacterium tRNA-Leu". It matches the Rfam family "tRNA". Rfam says of the family: Transfer RNA (tRNA) molecules are approximately 80 nucleotides in length. Lineage: Bacteria; Candidatus Altimarinota. The record is from RNAcentral.